This 497-nucleotide ribosomal RNA is filed under the name uncultured bacterium. Its description in RNAcentral is "partial 16S ribosomal RNA". It matches the Rfam family "Bacterial small subunit ribosomal RNA", at positions 28 to 507 of the family's 1533-position model. The record is from RNAcentral.
GAUGAACGCUGGCGGCGUGCCUAAUACAUGCAAGUCGAGCGAACGGACGAGAAGCUUGCUUCUCUGAUGUUAGCGGCGGACGGGUGAGUAACACGUGGAUAACCUACCUAUAAGACUGGGAUAACUUCGGGAAACCGUAGCUAAUACCGGAUAAUAUUUUGAACCGCAUGGUUCAAAAGUGAAAGACGGUCUUGCUGUCACUUAUAGAUGGAUCCGCGCUGCAUUAGCUAGUUGGUAAGGUAACGGCUUACCAAGGCAACGAUGCAUAGCCGACCUGAGAGGGUGAUCGGCCACACUGGAACUGAGACACGGUCCAGACUCCUACGGGAGGCAGCAGUAGGGAAUCUUCCGCAAUGGGCGAAAGCCUGACGGAGCAACGCCGCGUGAGUGAUGAAGGUCUUCGGAUCGUAAAACUCUGUUAUUAGGGAAGAACAUAUGUGUAAGUAACUGUGCACAUAUUGACGGUACCUAAUCAGAAAGCCACGGCUAACUACGUG